UGCCAGCAGUCGCGGUUAAACCAAGGAAUUUAGUCAUUCUUUUAUGGUAAAAAGACAGUUAGGCAAAAAUUAUAUAGUCAUUAGAUCCUUAGUAAAGGAGUAAAAUCUACAUACUAAAAGUUAUACCGAAUAUGAUUUGUUUAAGAUGCUGAAUCUGUGAUAGCUUUAAGGGAAACUGGGAUUGGAUACCCCACUAUUUUUAGUUGUAAAUCUAGUUUAGGCUUACCAGAGUACUACGAAUAAAAAGUUUAAAACUCAAAGGGCUUGGCGGUGUUUUAGACCUCUCAGGGGAACCUGUCUCAUAAUCGACAAUCCACGUUAGACCUAACCUUUAAUAGUAACACAGCCUGUAUACCGUCGUCGUCAGGUAACUUUUAAAAAUACAGCAGUUAGCUCGAGAAUUAUAUUAAUUAAGACGUCAGAUCAAGGUGCAGCUAAUGAAAAGGUGAGGAUGGGUUACAAUUAUAUAUUUAUAACUACAGAAAACACUUGAAAUUAAGUGUCUUAAAGGAGGACUUGAAAGUAAUUUUAAUUAUAUAAGUAAAAUGAAUAGGGCUCUGAAACGUGCACACAUCGCCCGCCACUCU
RNAcentral lists this ribosomal RNA (587 nucleotides) under Conus rolani. Its description in RNAcentral is "partial 12S ribosomal RNA". It matches the Rfam family "Eukaryotic small subunit ribosomal RNA", at positions 565 to 1682 of the family's 1831-position model. The record is from RNAcentral. Lineage: Eukaryota; Metazoa; Mollusca; Gastropoda; Neogastropoda; Conidae.